Molecule: ribosomal RNA, 497 nt
Filed under: uncultured bacterium
Lineage: Bacteria
Description: partial 16S ribosomal RNA
Rfam family: Bacterial small subunit ribosomal RNA
Source: RNAcentral
GACGAACGCUGGCGGCGUGCCUAAUACAUGCAAGUUGAGCGAUGAAGCUUGGUGCUUGCACCAAUUUGAAGAGCAGCGAACGGGUGAGUAACGCGUGGGGAAUCUGCCUUUGAGCGGGGGACAACAUUUGGAAACGAAUGCUAAUACCGCAUAAUAACUUUAAACAUAAGUUUUAAGUUUGAAAGAUGCAAUUGCAUCACUCAAAGAUGAUCCCGCGUUGUAUUAGCUAGUUGGUGAGGUAAAGGCUCACCAAGGCGAUGAUACAUAGCCGACCUGAGAGGGUGAUCGGCCACAGUGGGACUGAGACACGGCCCAAACUCCUACGGGAGGCAGCAGUAGGGGAUCUUCGGCAAUGGACGAAAGGCUGACCGGGCAACGCCGCGUGAGUGAAGAAGGUUGUCGGGUCGGAAAACUCUGUUGGUAGAGAAGAACGUUGGUGGGAGUGGAAAGCUCAUCAAGUGACGGUAACUACCCAGAAAGGGACGGCUAACUACGUG